UCUUCUUUGUCUGAAAGUUUGCUUAAUUUCAGGGUCUACAGGGAGUAAAUCGAUAAUUCGAUAUAUGCUCAUAAACACCUGAGAAAAAAAUCAAAAAAAUUAAAAAGAAUAAGUUAGUAAUGUUAGAAAUAAAUAAAAUUGAAAAUAAAUAAUUUCACGAAAAAAAUGAAUAUGGCAACAGUUGACAAUCCCCGGCAAUGGCG
This 203-nucleotide long non-coding RNA is filed under the name Gossypium raimondii (Peruvian cotton). RNAcentral describes it as "long non-coding RNA (GRAI_LNC008559)". The record is from RNAcentral. Lineage: Eukaryota; Viridiplantae; Streptophyta; Magnoliopsida; Malvales; Malvaceae.